RNAcentral lists this ribosomal RNA (797 nucleotides) under uncultured bacterium. RNAcentral describes it as "bacterial SSU rRNA". It matches the Rfam family "Bacterial small subunit ribosomal RNA", at positions 8 to 794 of the family's 1533-position model. The record is from RNAcentral.
AGAGUUUGAUCCUGGCUCAGGAUAAACGCUGGCGGCGUGCCUAACACAUGCAAGUCGAGCGGUAAGGCUUUCACAGUUUGCUUCUUCCACCCAAUCGGGUGACCUAAAGGAGCAAAGCGUGAAAGUACACGAGCGGCGGACGGCUGAGUAACGCGUGGGAACGUACCCCAGAGUGAGGGAUAAGCACCAGAAAUGGUGUCUAAUACCGCAUAAUCUCUUCGGAGCAAAGCUUUAGCGCUUUGGGAACGGCCUGCGUCUGAUUAGUUUGUUGGUGAGGUAAUGGCUCACCAAGACUACGAUCGGUAGCUGGUCUGAGAGGAUGACCAGCCAGACUGGAACUGAGACACGGUCCAGACUCCUACGGGAGGCAGCAGUGGGGAAUUUUCCACAAUGGGCGAAAGCCUGAUGGAGCAACGCCGCGUGCAGGAUUAAGGCCUUCGGGUUGUAAACUGCUUUUAUCUGUGACGAAUAUGACGGUAGCAGAAGAAUAAGGAUCGGCUAACUACGUGCCAGCAGCCGCGGUCAUACGUAGGAUCCAAGCGUUAUCCGGAUUUACUGGGCGUAAAGAGUUGCGUAGGUGGUAAUGUAAGCGAAUAGUGAAAUCGUGUGGCUCACCCAUACGGCUGUUAUUCGAACUGCAUAACUUGAGUGCGAGAGAGGUAACUGGAAUUUCUAGUGUAGGAGUGAAAUCCGUAGAUAUUAGAAGGAACACCAAUGGCGAAGGCAGGUUACUGGCUCGUUACUGACACUGAGGCACGAAAGCGUGGGUAGCAAACGGGAUUAGAUACCCCGGUAGU